RNAcentral lists this non-coding RNA (21 nucleotides) under Caenorhabditis elegans. The record is from RNAcentral. Lineage: Eukaryota; Metazoa; Nematoda; Chromadorea; Rhabditida; Rhabditidae.
UAAGAAAACUGGACGUUCACA